AGUGAACGCUGGCGGUAGACCUAACACAUGCAAGUCGAACGGCAGCACAGUAAGAGCUUGCUCUUACGGGUGGCGAGUGGCGGACGGGUGAGGAAUCCAUCGGAACCUACUUUUUCGGGGGGGAUAACGUAGGGAAACUUACGCUAAUACCGCAUACGACCUACGGGUGAAAGCAGGGGAUCUUCGGACCUUGCGCGAUUGAAUGAGCCGAUGUCGGAUUAGCUAGUUGGCGGGGUAAAGGCCCACCAAGGCGACGAUCCGUAGCUGGUCUGAGAGGAUGAUCAGCCACACUGGAACUGAGACACGGUCCAGACUCCUACGGGAGGCAGCAGUGGGGAAUAUUGGACAAUGGGCGCAAGCCUGAUCCAGCCAUACCGCGUGGGUGAAGAAGGCCUUCGGGUUGUAAAGCCCUUUUGUUGGGAAAGAAAAGCAGCAGGUUAAUACCCCGCUGUUCUGACGGUACCCAAAGAAUAAGCACCGGCUAACUCCGUG
Molecule: ribosomal RNA, 492 nt
Filed under: uncultured bacterium
Lineage: Bacteria
Description: partial 16S ribosomal RNA
Rfam family: Bacterial small subunit ribosomal RNA
Source: RNAcentral